CUGUGCGUAGGCGGGGAGUUAGCGGCACCCUGUAUCUGAAAUCCGCUAUAUCAGAGCCGAAUGCCUUUCUCGACGAAGUUUAUGGAAGGUCGCGCGUCGCAAGGAACGUUGAUCGUAAGGUCUUAUGCAACAUAAUGCCGUGAACCGUGUCAGGACGGGAACGUAGCAGCUCUAAGCGGAUGUUUGUGUGUGCCAUAAGGUAGCUUUACAGGAGUCACCUACGGCGUUUCCACUUCGGUAAAUUUCGGCAAAAAAGGAUCGCACAG
RNAcentral lists this signal recognition particle RNA (266 nucleotides) under Clostridiales bacterium. RNAcentral's name for it is "signal recognition particle sRNA large type". It matches the Rfam family "Bacterial large signal recognition particle RNA". From Rfam's summary of the family: The signal recognition particle (SRP) is a universally conserved ribonucleoprotein involved in the co-translational targeting of proteins to membranes. Archaeal SRP consists of a 7S RNA and homologues of the eukaryotic SRP19 and SRP54 proteins. Lineage: Bacteria; Bacillati; Bacillota; Clostridia; Eubacteriales. The record is from RNAcentral.